UGCAAAUAAACGUAAAAAUACUGUUAAAGUGUAAAGUGUUUUCCUCCGUACCAUCUGACGUUUCUGGCGGUUCGUUGAACGCGAGAGAACGCUGAGCCGUCUGCACUGAGCCCGGGAGCAUCUUCAGGGCAGCGCCGCCCACGCGCGAGGUGAAUGAAGGACACGGCCUCUUGACACUCCCAGGCAGCACAGAUAGACGGAUCCGUGCCUCAACCAUGAACCUAGCAAUGAAUGAGGAAAGAAAUCUUUCUUCCCCUACAAUUCUGCUGGGUUUUGCAAUCACACUGUGAGAAACUCUACCCUGAGACGUCAAACCGAGAAAGAAUGCUAUUGGCUCCAAGGUGCGGUUUGGAAGACGACCGACCUCUAUUCCGACCUGGAGGUCAGCUUUGAGGAUGCCUCUGCCUGCCAUCUUUGGGCGUGUUCACAAGGCACAUUUCUUUGAAUAGAUUUCAG
Molecule: long non-coding RNA, 456 nt
Filed under: Homo sapiens (human)
Lineage: Eukaryota; Metazoa; Chordata; Mammalia; Primates; Hominidae
Description: non-protein coding LINC00476:11
Source: RNAcentral